RNAcentral lists this ribosomal RNA (465 nucleotides) under uncultured bacterium. RNAcentral's name for it is "partial 16S ribosomal RNA". It matches the Rfam family "Bacterial small subunit ribosomal RNA", at positions 28 to 507 of the family's 1533-position model. The record is from RNAcentral.
GACGAACGCUGGCGGCGUGCUUAACACAUGCAAGUCGUACGGUAAGGCCCUUUCGGGGGUACACGAGUGGCGAACGGGUGAGUAACACGUGAGUAACCUGCCCACAACUUUGGGAUAACGCUAGGAAACUGGUGCUAAUACUGGAUAUGUGCUCCUGCUGCAUGGUGGGGGUUGGAAAGCUCCGGCGGUUGUGGAUGGACUCGCGGCCUAUCAGCUUGUUGGUGGGGUAGUGGCCUACCAAGGCGGCGACGGGUAGCCGGCCUGAGGGGGUGACCGGCCACAUUGGGACUGAGAUACGGCCCAGACUCCUACGGGAGGCAGCAGUGGGGAAUAUUGCACAAUGGGCGCAAGCCUGAUGCAGCAACGCCGCGUGCGGGAUGACGGCCUUCGGGUUGUAAACCGCUUUCAGCAGGGACGAAGCUUUUUGUGACGGUACCUGCAGAAGAAGCACCGGCUAACUACGUG